UCUAACUGGGGUGUCGUGUGCUCAGAGCUGGGAGGCCAGGUGGAGGAAUCUAGGGUGCAGCGCGAGGAGUGAGGCUCCUCCCGGAUACCUUGACACAACACGGUGUCGCUCUGGUGAAGAGUUGCCCGUGUCUGUGAAAGAACGAGAACGCCAAGGGAGACAACACCCAGAACAGGCGGCUCCACCCAAAACAGGCGGCUCCACCCAGGGAGGCGAAGCGGGAUGCGGAGCUUGGCUUUGAAAUCGGAUGCAUUCCACUUCCUGCUUGUCCGCUGCGAUCCUGCAAGCCUUCUUUUGCUUCUCUUCUUCUUUCUUGUCCCUUCCCAAUGUCUACCUUAUAGGAUAAUCGUCAGGAUUGUGUGAGAAAACGGUAUCAGGCUUGUGGAAGAUUCGAAACCUCUUAGUCCCUACUUCUAUUUAUACGUAAUCUACAAACGGAGUAAAUCCACGAUCCCUGAUGAUCACAGCUCAGAUGCACGAUCUUAGGGUAGAUAAGUAAAGAUCCCAAGGAGAGCUGAGCUGCUAGUCUCCCCUACCUCAACCCCUUUUGACCUUUUUCUUUUUUCUAACUUUUUUUCUUUUGGAAGUUAGAAAGAUGUAUAAAAGAAAAAAAAAUGGUAGGGUAAUGGGCAAAAGGUCUGGAAUUUUUUCACCACCAAAGCAACUUUAUGAAAAGGUUUGCUCAAGUAUUAACAUUCACCGAAGAGUCACAAUGGCAUUACCCGCACCCCUUAGCAGCAAGUCUCCUUACACACCACAGUAUUAUUAAUCACAACUCCAAUACUUGAGGUCCUACUUUGUGCACAGCACCGAACAAGCCCUGCAGUGAUGACAGAGACGACUAAGAUGCGCCUAUGAGUCAUUUUCAAUCUAUUUGGAGACAAGAACUUUGCAGAACGUGGUAAAUAAAUGCUUCCACAGAGACACAAGAAACUCCUAUAUAUCCUAGCUCCUCCCUUACCUCUUUGAAACAGACCCUGAGAGCUAUCUGAGAGGCUGUAUCCCAGGCUGAAGUUCUCAGUCUGCCAAAUAAAACAAAAAAUACAGGACCUGGUUAGCACUGCAUCUGAGCCACUACUAUUUAUGUGAUCUUGGUUAAGGUAACCUCUCCAUAAC
Molecule: long non-coding RNA, 1116 nt
Organism: Physeter macrocephalus (sperm whale)
Lineage: Eukaryota; Metazoa; Chordata; Mammalia; Artiodactyla; Physeteridae
Exons: 3
Source: RefSeq, a predicted model, not a curated record